RNAcentral lists this ribosomal RNA (433 nucleotides) under uncultured bacterium. RNAcentral describes it as "partial 16S ribosomal RNA". It matches the Rfam family "Bacterial small subunit ribosomal RNA", at positions 29 to 507 of the family's 1533-position model. The record is from RNAcentral.
AACGAACGCUGGCGGCAUGCCUAACACAUGCAAGUCGAACGAGACCUUCGGGUCUAGUGGCGCACGGGUGCGUAACGCGUGGGAACCUGCCCUUAGGUUCGGAAUAACUCCCCGAAAGGGGUGCUAAUACCGGAUAAUGUCUUCGGACCAAAGAUUUAUCGCCUUUGGAUGGGCCCGCGUUGGAUUAGCUAGUUGGUAGGGUAAAAGCCUACCAAGGCGACGAUCCAUAGCUGGGCUGAGAGAAUGAUCAGCGACACUGGGACUGGGACACGGCCCAGACUCUUACGGGAGGCAGGAGUGGCGAAUAUAGGACAAUGGCGGGAAGCCUGAUCCAGCAAUGCCGGGUGAGUGAUGAAGGCCUGAGGGUUGUAAAGCUCUUUUACCCGGGAUGAUAAUGACGGUACCGGGAGAAUAAGCUCCGGCUAACUCCGUG